GGCAGUUCUCGGGUGUCGCACCCCGGAAUCGGGCUCCCUCCUCUCUGGUUCCAGGUGCAUAACCUGAGAACCACA
Non-coding RNA from Myotis lucifugus (little brown bat), 75 nucleotides. The record is from Rfam. Lineage: Eukaryota; Metazoa; Chordata; Mammalia; Chiroptera; Vespertilionidae.